Molecule: non-coding RNA, 69 nt
Organism: Rattus norvegicus (Norway rat)
Lineage: Eukaryota; Metazoa; Chordata; Mammalia; Rodentia; Muridae
Source: Rfam
GGGGAUUUAGCUCAAUGGUAGAGCGCUUGCCUAGCAAGCACAAGGCCCUGGGUUCGGUCCCCAGCUCCA